Long non-coding RNA from Varroa destructor (honeybee mite), 1395 nucleotides. Lineage: Eukaryota; Metazoa; Arthropoda; Arachnida; Mesostigmata; Varroidae. The record is from RefSeq and is a predicted model, not a curated record.
UGCAAUAAUUCGUCAUGUUUGUAUUAGGACGAGAUAACUAAAAACAGAUCUCAUUUCAGCCGGCAAUCUACGAGUGGUUACAUGAAUAUAAAACCUGCCUCGUUAAUCUGGUAUCUGGUGAACGGCCGUCUGGAGGUGUGUGACAGAGCUAACGCUCGAUCUCGGGAACUAUUACAGCUGCAACGUAAACAGUAAAAUUAAGCCUAUGGCCACACGAACAGUGUGUCGGGCGCAACACUCUUCCAUAUAGGCACAACACCAGACCGCCACUGUUCAUCGAUGAACGAGGCCCCUCAGCGUACGCUUGUCAUUCGUCAGUUGCUGCUGGCAGUACUCCUGCGUACGCCUGUACUGCGGGAGCUCCGCGUUCUCGUGCAACACUGUCCUUUCGAACAACGGGGCUCGUGGGGAGUGCCGCUAGCUCGAAAGGCAAAGUGUGCUCAUAUUCGAACUCCUGCGGACUCUGCCCGCCUCUCUUAAUGGACCCAACUCCGAACCCUUUUCACAACUAUGUGUUUGGUUCGUUUUUUUCCUAUUACAGAAAGACUCACUGCGCUGAGUCUUUGCAGCUCCGUUCCGAAAUAUCGGUGAAAUGGUAAGUUGGCACAACAAUAAUUGCACGUCACAGCAACAGCAGGGAAAAUGGAAGGACCGUCGUGACAAUGCGGCGCUUCGGUUCGAUAGUGGUAGCAGACACAUUGGGAAUCACAACGACGACAACGGUCUGCAGGGCAAUAACUAAGAACGACCCCAGCCCCCUUUUGUUGAAAAGGAAACGCGGUGGAUAUUGAACAAUCAGAAAAUGCGCAUUGAAAAGGAAUUGGUAAAAGUAAUGUGGUACAAUCUGUAACGUUGAAUGGAGCUGCAUUGCUCGUUUCGAUUGGCAAGUACGCUAUCAAUUUCAAAACUUUAGCGAGCGAUCAACGCAUACGUUCUAUUCAUCUUGCGUGUGAAGACAACAUGCGUAUUUGAGACCGACACGAUCACGAAGAAACCGGGCUCACUCAACUGUUCCUGACACUUCCACACUUCUGUUCCAUUCUCGGUCAUUUCGAGCAGCAAGUAUUAUCGAUUGUCUUUUAAGCGUGUCUACCAAGCUAAUGGCCAGUUUAGUGGGUUACGCAUACAACGUCGCUACUAUAAAAGUCUAUGGUCGGCCUACGAAACGAGAAACGCGCCUACCCUGUGCGUGAUUCCCGAUCUUGCUCUUCGCUCUAAGAACGCCGAGCCGGCAACGGAUAGAUCAGCCGAUGUAGUGAAUCCGUAUCACCAUGUCUGUUUUUGACCUUCUCUAUUGGGAACCCAUCACUUCUGUCUCAACGUACUGUUGGCAGCUUUAUCUCGAAAUAAUGAAAGCAGACACGUGUGCAAGCUAGCUGAUCCAACAUAACUAAA